Molecule: ribosomal RNA, 264 nt
Filed under: uncultured bacterium
Lineage: Bacteria
Description: partial 16S ribosomal RNA
Rfam family: Bacterial small subunit ribosomal RNA
Source: RNAcentral
AUUAACGCUAGCGGCAGGCAUAAUACAUGCAAGUUGAACGGCAGCACAGGUAGCAAUACCGGGUGGCGAGUGGCGCACGGGUGCGUAACACGUAUGCAACCUACCCUAUACAGGCGAAUAACCUUUAGAAAUGAGGGCUAAUACGCCGUAGGUAUUAUCUUGGGGCAUCUUGAGAUAAUUAAAGAUUUAUCGGUAUAGGAUGGGCAUGCGUCCCAUUAGUUAGUUGGUAAGGUAACGGCUUACCAAGACGAUGAUGGGUAGGGG